RNAcentral lists this ribosomal RNA (451 nucleotides) under uncultured bacterium. RNAcentral describes it as "partial 16S ribosomal RNA". It matches the Rfam family "Bacterial small subunit ribosomal RNA", at positions 28 to 507 of the family's 1533-position model. The record is from RNAcentral.
GAUGAAUGCUGGCGGCGUGCCUAACACAUGCAAGUCGAGCGGCAGCGCGGGGUGCUUGCGCCCUGUCGGCGAGCGGCGAACGGCUGAGUAACGCGUAGGAAUUUGCCCCAAAGUGAGGAAUAACUGCCCGAAAGGGUAGCUAAUGCCGCAUAUGGUCUUCGGAUUAAAGGAUUUAUUCGCUUUGGGAGAAGCCUGCGUUUGAUUAGGUUGUUGGUAGGGUAAUGGCCUACCAAGCCGACGAUCCAUAGCUGGUCUGAGAGGAUGAUCAGCCAGACUGGAACUGAGACACGGACCAGACUGCUACGGGAGGCAGCAGUGAGGAGUAUUACACAAUGAGCCAAAGCCUGGUGGAGCAACGCCGCGUGAAGGAUGAAGGCCUUCGGGUUGUAAACUUCUUUUAUGCGUGACGAAUAUGACGGUAACUCAUGAAUAAGCACCGGCUAACUACGUG